Pseudophryne corroboree (corroboree frog) is the source of this 673-nucleotide long non-coding RNA. RefSeq lists it as uncharacterized. The transcript is spliced from 3 exons. The record is from RefSeq and is a predicted model, not a curated record. Lineage: Eukaryota; Metazoa; Chordata; Amphibia; Anura; Myobatrachidae.
GGAGGAGAUGUGGGUGGAGCGAUGGCUCUUUCAGGGGGCGGGGAAACACAGGCCACCAAUAGGAACACAGUGUUACCUAACGCACAGUGGGCGGGACCGACACGAGAAAAAAAAAGUGGCAGUCCCACAGGCGAUUGUAAGGAAAGAUGGGAUUGGAUGAUGUGUCCGGAAAUAGAUGAGGAUUUCCGAGUAGUCACGGAGAUUGCCGGAAACAGGCGAUUGGAUCCGAAGUGAGCCGAAGGACAGUCAUAGUAAUCAUUACUCCAUUCCAGAGGAAACAAAUGAAAGCAGGAGCUGUAGUUUCCUCCAUAGGAGAGGAAGUUGUGCAUAUCCUGGAGAAAGCUGAAUGUUCUUUGCUGCAUUGCCUGUGUGGAUGAUCCAGUACGCUUUAAAAAGCACUAAAGUUCUUGCAAAAAUCAAUUCUGAGAGGGGAUAAACCAUCUGAGUACUUACCUAUAAAACUGGUGCGGGAUAUCUUUUGGUGUCGCUAUAGUUGGGGAUUUUGCUUCGCCUGCCGGCAUCUGGUUUCAUGCUGAACGUUAUUGUCAACUGUUCCGAAGCUCUCAUCUUCGAAGGGAUGUUUCCUCAUCCCUCUCCCUCUCAUUCUACUGAUCCCUUCUCCCCAAAUGUUUGUUUUAUAAAAAACCUCAAUAAAACUUAAAAAAUAAAUAAA